This 484-nucleotide ribosomal RNA is filed under the name uncultured bacterium. RNAcentral describes it as "partial 16S ribosomal RNA". It matches the Rfam family "Bacterial small subunit ribosomal RNA", at positions 30 to 507 of the family's 1533-position model. The record is from RNAcentral.
AUUGAACGCUGGCGGCAGGCCUAACACAUGCAAGUCGAGCGGAUGAAGGGAGCUUGCUCCUGGAUUCAGCGGCGGACGGGUGAGUAAUGCCUAGGAAUCUGCCUGGUAGUGGGGGAUAACGUCCGGAAACGGGCACUAAUACCGCAUACGUCCUGAGGGAGAAAGUGGGGGAUCUUCGGACCUCACGCUAUCAGAUGAGCCUAGGUCGGAUUAGCUAGUUGGUGGGGUAAAGGCCUACCAAGGCGACGAUCCGUAACUGGUCUGAGAGGAUGAUCAGUCACACUGGAACUGAGACACGGUCCAGACUCCUACGGGAGGCAGCAGUGGGGAAUAUUGGACAAUGGGCGAAAGCCUGAUCCAGCCAUGCCGCGUGUGUGAAGAAGGUCUUCGGAUUGUAAAGCACUUUAAGUUGGGAGGAAGAGCAGUAAGUUAAUACCUUGCUGUUUUGACGUUACCAACAGAAUAAGCACCGGCUAACUUCGUG